UACGGAAGGCAGCAGUGGGGAAUAUUGCACAAUGGGCGAAAGCCUGAUGCAGCUAUGCCGCGUGUAUGAAGAAGGCCUUAGGGUUGUAAAGUACUUUCAUCGGGGAGGAAAACAAAACUAAUAAUUUUAUUUCUUGACGUUACCCGAAAAAGAAGCACCGGCUAACUCCGUGCCAGCAGCCGCGGUAAUACGGAGGGUGCUAGCGUUAAUCAGAAUUACUGGGCGUAAAGAGCACGUAGGUGGUUUUUUUAAAGUCAGAUGUGAAAUCCCCUGGGCUUAACCUAGGAACUGCAUUUUUGAAACUGAAAUACUAGAGUAUCGUAGAGGGAGGUAGAAUUCUAGGUGUAGCGGUGAAAUGCGUAGAUAUCUGGAGGAAUACCUGUGGCGAAAGCGGCCUCCUAAACGAAUACUGACACUGAGGUGCGAAAGCGUGGGGAGCAAAACAGGGAUUAGAUACC
RNAcentral lists this ribosomal RNA (458 nucleotides) under uncultured bacterium. RNAcentral describes it as "bacterial SSU rRNA". It matches the Rfam family "Bacterial small subunit ribosomal RNA", at positions 340 to 786 of the family's 1533-position model. The record is from RNAcentral.